This 256-nucleotide ribosomal RNA is filed under the name uncultured archaeon. RNAcentral describes it as "partial 16S ribosomal RNA". It matches the Rfam family "Bacterial small subunit ribosomal RNA", at positions 521 to 776 of the family's 1533-position model. The record is from RNAcentral.
UAAUACAGAGACUGCAAGCGUUAUUCGGAUUCACUGGGCGUAAAGGGUGCGCAGGCGGCCGUGUGUGUUAGGCGUGAAAGCCUGAGGCUUAACCUCAGAAUUGCACCUAAAACUACACGGCUAGAGUACUGGAGAGGGUAGCGGAAUUCACGGUGUAGCAGUGAAAUGCGUAGAUAUCGUGAGGAACACCAAUGGCGAAGGCAGCUACCUGGACAGUUACUGACGCUCAGGCACGAAAGCGUGGGGAGCAAAAGGG